CCCUUAGAUGUUCUGGGCCGCACGCGCGCUACACUGACUACUUCAACGGGUUGUUUCCUUGAUCGAAAGGUCUGGGUAAUCUUUGAAAGGUAGUCGUGAUGGGGAUAGAUCCUUGCAAUUUUUGAUCUUCAACGAGGAAUUCCUAGUAAACGCAAGUCAUCAGCUUGCAUUGAUUACGUCCCUGCCCUUUGUACACACCGCCCGUCGCACCUACCGAUUGAAUGGUCCGGUGAAUCUUUAGGACUGUGGCUGAGGCCUUGCCUUGUGCGGGUCUGGCCGUGGGAAUUUAGUUAAACCUUACCAUUUAGAGGAAGGUGAAGUCGUANCA
RNAcentral lists this ribosomal RNA (328 nucleotides) under uncultured eukaryote. Its description in RNAcentral is "partial 18S ribosomal RNA". It matches the Rfam family "Eukaryotic small subunit ribosomal RNA", at positions 1470 to 1796 of the family's 1831-position model. The record is from RNAcentral.